ACAGGCACGGCCAGUUUGAGCAUUUUCACUGAAUUGCCAAACCAGUUGUGCCUGUAGA
MicroRNA precursor from Bos taurus (domestic cattle), 58 nucleotides. NCBI's taxonomy places the organism in Eukaryota, Metazoa, Chordata, Mammalia, Artiodactyla, Bovidae. The record is from Ensembl.